ACGAACGCUGGCGGCAAGCUUAACACAUGCAAGUCGAACGCCGUAGCAAUACGGAGUGGCAGACGGGUGAGUAACGCGUGGGAACGUGCCUUUCGGUUCGGAACAACUGAGGGAAACUUCAGCUAAAACCGGAUACGCCCUUCGGGGGAAAGUUUACGCCGAAAGAUCGGCCCGCGUCAGAUUAGGUAGUUGGUGGGGUAAUGGCCUACCAAGCCUGCGAUCUGUAGCUGUUCUGAGAGGAAGAUCAGCCACAUUGGGACUGAGACACGGCCCAAACUCCUACGGGAGGCAGCAGUGGGGAAUAUUGGACAAUGGGCGCAAGCCUGAUCCAGCUAUGCCGCGUGGAUGAAGAAGGCCUUCGGGUUGUAAAGUCCUUUCGGUGGUGAAGAUAAUGACGGUAACCACAGAAGAAGCCCCGGCUAAUUUCGU
Molecule: ribosomal RNA, 429 nt
Filed under: uncultured bacterium
Lineage: Bacteria
Description: bacterial SSU rRNA
Rfam family: Bacterial small subunit ribosomal RNA
Source: RNAcentral